RNAcentral lists this ribosomal RNA (1338 nucleotides) under metagenome. Its description in RNAcentral is "bacterial SSU rRNA". It matches the Rfam family "Bacterial small subunit ribosomal RNA", at positions 8 to 1321 of the family's 1533-position model. The record is from RNAcentral.
AGAGUUUGAUCCUGGCUCAGAUUGAACGCUGGCGGCACGCCUAACACAUGCAAGUCGAACGGCAGCAGUAGAAAGUUUACUUCGGUAGAUUUUUUAGCUGGCGAGUGGCGGACGGGUGAGUAAUGCGUAGGAACUUGACUUAAAGAGGGGGACAACCCGGGGAAACUCGGGCUAAGACCGCAUAAAAUUCUACGGAAUAAAUUCUGGCAGCUUGCUGCUGGAGCUUUAAGAGAGGCCUACGUUGGAUUAGCUAGUUGGUAAGGUAAAGGCUUACCAAGGCGAUGAUCUAUAGCUGGUUUGAGAGGAUGGCCAGCCACACUGGGACUGAGAUACGGCCCAGACUCCUACGGGAGGCAGCAGUGGGGGAUAUUGGACAAUGGGGGCAACCCUGAUCCAGCGAUGCCGCGUGUGUGAAGAAGGCCUGAGGGUUGUAAAGCACUUUCGAUAAUGAGGAUUGAGUAUUGGUUGAAUAGACUGAUACUUUGACGUUAGUUAUAGAAGAAGCACCGGCUAACUCUGUGCCAGCAGCCGCGGUAAUACAGAGGGUGCGAGCGUUAAUCGGAUUGACUGGGCAUAAAGGGCUCGUAGGCGGUUAUUUAAGUGAGCUGUGAAAUCCAUGGGCUUAACCUGUGAUCUGCAGCUUAGACUGGAUGACUAGAGUCUAGGAGAGGAAGACGGAAUUCCCGGUGUAGCGGUGAAAUGCGUAGAUAUCGGAAGGAACACCAGUUGUGAAGACGGUUUUCUGGCCUAAGACAGACGCUGAGGUGCGAAAGCGUGGGUAGCGAACAGGAUUAGAUACCCUGGUAGUCCACGCUGUAAACGAUGAAUACUAGCUGUUGGGAGUGGAAGAGCUCUAAGUAGCGAAGCAAACGCGCUAAGUAUUCCGCCUGGGGAUUACGGCCGCAAGGCUAAAACUCAAAGGAAUUGACGGGGGCCCGCACAAGCGGUGGAGCAUGUGGUUUAAUUCGAUUCAACGCGAAGAACCUUACCCACUUUUGACAUCUGUGGAAGUACUGAGAGAUUGGUAUGUGCCCGAGAGGGAACUACAAGACAGGUGCUGCAUGGCUGUCGUCAGCUCGUGUUGUGAGAUGUUGGGUUAAGUCCCGUAACGAGCGCAACCCCUAUACUUAGUUGCCAGCAAGUAAAGUUGGGGACUCUAAGUAGACUGCCGGUGAUAAACCGGAGGAAGGUGGGGACGACGUCAAGUCAUCAUGGCCUUUAUAAGUGGGGCUACACACGUGCUACAAUGGGUGUUACAGAGGGAGGCAAAGCAGAGAUGUGGAGCGGAACUCAGAAAGGCACUCGUAGUCCGGAUUGAAGUCUGCAAUUCGACUUCAU